UACGUAGGGGGCAAGCGUUGUCCGGAAUCAUUGGGCGUAAAGAGCGUGUAGGCGGUCCGGUAAGUCCGUUGUGAAAGUCGAGGGCUCAACCCUCGAAUGCCGGCGGAUACUGUCGGACUAGAGUCCGGAAGAGGCGAGUGGAAUUCCUGGUGUAGCGGUGAAAUGCGCAGAUAUCAGGAGGAACACCGAUGGCGAAGGCAGCUCGCUGGGACGGUACUGACGCUGAGACGCGAAAGCGUGGGGAGCAAACAGG
This 253-nucleotide ribosomal RNA is filed under the name uncultured bacterium. RNAcentral's name for it is "partial 16S ribosomal RNA". It matches the Rfam family "Bacterial small subunit ribosomal RNA", at positions 524 to 776 of the family's 1533-position model. The record is from RNAcentral.